Molecule: ribosomal RNA, 263 nt
Filed under: uncultured Staphylococcus sp.
Lineage: Bacteria; Bacillati; Bacillota; Bacilli; Caryophanales; Staphylococcaceae
Description: partial 16S ribosomal RNA
Rfam family: Bacterial small subunit ribosomal RNA
Source: RNAcentral
CGGACGGGUGAGUAACACGUGGAUAACCUACCUAUAAGACUGGGAUAACUUCGGGAAACCGGAGCUAAUACCGGAUAAUAUAUUGAACCGCAUGGUUCAAUGGUGAAAGACGGUUUUGCUGUCACUUAUAGAUGGAUCCGCGCCGCAUUAGCUAGUUGGUAAGGUAACGGCUUACCAAGGCAACGAUGUGUAGCCGACCUGAGAGGGUGAUCGGCCACACUGGAACUGAGACACGGUCCAGACUCCUACGGGAGGCAGCAGCG